UACAGAGGGUGCGAGCGUUGUUCGGAAUUAUUGGGCGUAAAGCGCGCGCAGGCGGUUCUUUAAGUCUGAUGUGAAAGCCCACGGCUCAACCGUGGAGGGUCAUUGGAAACUGGGGAACUAGAGUGCAGAAGAGGAAAGUGGAAUUCCACGUGUAGCGGUGAAAUGCGUAGAGAUGUGGAGGAAUACCAGUGGCGAAGGCGACUUUCUGGUCUGUAACUGACGCUGAGGCGCGAAAGCGUGGGGAGCAAACAGG
RNAcentral lists this unclassified non-coding RNA (253 nucleotides) under uncultured Caryophanales bacterium. Its description in RNAcentral is "uncultured Bacillales bacterium contains 16S-23S intergenic spacer region". It matches the Rfam family "Bacterial small subunit ribosomal RNA", at positions 524 to 776 of the family's 1533-position model. The record is from RNAcentral. Lineage: Bacteria; Bacillati; Bacillota; Bacilli; Caryophanales.